AAGUAGUAAUGUUAAAUAAAACCCUUAUAUUUUGGCGGCAUUUAAUCUUAUUAGAGGAACUUGUUUAAUAAUCGAUUUUACCCGUUAAAUUUCACUAUUAUAACAAAUUUAUAUACCUCCAUUUUAAGAACUUUUUUAAAAAUAUAAUCUCAAUAAUCAAUAAAAAAUUAGGUCAAGGUGUAAUUAACAUUUUAGAAAUAAAUGAGUUACAUUAAAAAUUAUUUAAGGAAAACUAAUUAUAAUAAAUUCAAAAAAGGAUUUAAAAGUAAUAUUUAAUUAAUAAUUCAAAAUAAACUAGAAAAUAUCUGUGU
This 311-nucleotide ribosomal RNA is filed under the name Nanocambridgea sp. CG203. Its description in RNAcentral is "partial 12S ribosomal RNA". The record is from RNAcentral. Lineage: Eukaryota; Metazoa; Arthropoda; Arachnida; Araneae; Stiphidiidae.